RNAcentral lists this ribosomal RNA (1641 nucleotides) under Triticum aestivum (bread wheat). Its description in RNAcentral is "partial small subunit ribosomal RNA". Lineage: Eukaryota; Viridiplantae; Streptophyta; Magnoliopsida; Poales; Poaceae. The record is from RNAcentral.
AUGCCUCACCCCCCUCUCGUCGCCGUCGCCGCCGCCACCCUCCGCCGCCGCCUCCUCCUCUCCUCGCCGCUCGCCUCCUUCUCCUCCUCCCGCACCCGCCGCAUCCUCCCCCGCGCCAUGGAGUCCUCCACCACCGCCGCCGCGGAGCACGCAGGUGGCGCGGCGGCGGGGGAGUACGAGGAGGUGCUGGGGCGCCUCUCCUCGCUCAUCACGCAGAAGGUGCGCGCCGACACCGGCAACCGCGGCAACCAGUGGGACCUCAUGGCCCGCUACCUCCAGAUUCUGGAGCUGGAGGAGCCCAUCGCGCGGAUGAAGGUCAUCCAUGUCGCCGGCACCAAAGGGAAGGGUUCGACAUGCACAUUCACGGAGUCAAUCCUGCGAUCCUGUGGCUUCCGUACCGGGCUAUUCACAUCACCGCAUUUGAUGGAUGUCCGGGAGCGGUUCCGGCUAGAUGGGGUGGAUAUUUCUGAAGAGAAGUUUUUGAAGUACUUCUGGUGCUGCUGGAAUAAACUGAAGGAGAAGACUGAUGAUGAUAUUCCCAUGCCAGCGUAUUUCAGGUUCAUGGCCUUGCUCGCAUUCAAGAUCUUUUCUGCUGAGCAGGUAGAUGUAGCUCUUCUCGAGGUUGGUCUUGGAGGGAAGUUCGAUGCAACUAAUGUGGUUAAAUCUCCUGUAGUCUGUGGAAUAUCCUCUCUUGGAUAUGAUCAUAUGGAAAUUCUUGGAAAUACGCUUGGUGAAAUUGCUGGGGAGAAGGCUGGAAUUUUCAAGAAAGGAGUUCCAGCUUACACUGCUCCACAGCCAGAAGAGGCAAUGGUUGCUCUCAAACGAAGAGCUUCAGAAUUGGGCAUUUCACUCCAAGUCGUUGAUCCUUUGAAGCCACAUCAGUUGAAAGAUCAACAUCUUGGACUGCAAGGUGAACACCAAUAUGAAAAUGCUGGCCUUGCAGUCGCACUCGCUAGUACAUGGCUUGAGAAGCAGGGACACGUGGACAGAAUGCCACUCAACCACACUGAUCCCUUACCAGAUCAGUUCAUUAGAGGGCUGUCAAGUGCUUCUUUGCAAGGCCGAGCGCAAAUUGUUCCAGAUUCACAAGUAAAUUCAGAAGAGAAGGGCCAAGAUAGUUCUUUGGUAUUCUAUUUGGAUGGGGCACACAGCCCUGAAAGUAUGGAAAUAUGUGCGAGGUGGUUUUCCCAUGCUACCAAGGAGCAGUCUCAGACUUGCAGCAAAUCUCGGAAGAUUCUUCUAUUCAACUGCAUGUCUGUGAGAGAUCCUAUGAGAUUGCUUCCACAUCUCGUUGAUACUGCAACUCAAAAUGGGGUGCACUUUGAUCUGGCCCUAUUUGUGCCAAAUCAGUCACAACACAACAAGCUUGGUUCUAAGGCAUCAGCACCUGCUGGUCCUGAGCAAAUUGAUUUGUCAUGGCAGCUAUCUCUCCAAGCAGUGUGGGAGAAAUUACUUCAUGAUGAUAAUAAAGGUUCAAACAGCACGGAUUCUGGCGAGACUAGCCUAGUGUUUGAAUCACUGCCACUAGCAAUUGAGUGGCUAAGGAAAAAUGCGGUAGAGGAUCCAUCCACUUCUUAUCAGGUCCUGGUUACUGGCUCUCUGCAUCUCAUCGGCGAUGUACUGAGGUUGCUCAAGAAGUGA